GAUGAACGCUGGCGGCGUGCCUAAUACAUGCCAGUCGAGCGAACAGACGAGGAGCUUGCUCCUCUGACGUUAGCGGCGGACGGGUGAGUAACACGUGGAUAACCUACCUAUAAGACUGGGAUAACUUCGGGAAACCGGAGCUAAUACCGGAUAAUAUAUUGAACCGCAUGGUUCAAUAGUGAAAGACGGUUUUGCUGUCACUUAUAGAUGGAUCCGCGCCGCAUUAGCUAGUUGGUAAGGUAACGGCUUACCAAGGCAACGAUGCGUAUCCGACCUGAGAGGGUGAUCGGCCACACUGGAACUGAGACACGGUCCAGACUCCUACGGGAGGCAGCAGUAGGGAAUCUUCCGCAAUGGGCGAAAGCCUGACGGAGCAACGCCGCGUGAGUGAUGAAGGUCUUCGGAUCGUAAAACUCUGUUAUUAGGGAAGAACAAAUGUGUAAGUAACUAUGCACGUCUUGACGGUACCUAAUCAGAAAGCCACGGCUAACUACGUG
Molecule: ribosomal RNA, 497 nt
Filed under: uncultured bacterium
Lineage: Bacteria
Description: partial 16S ribosomal RNA
Rfam family: Bacterial small subunit ribosomal RNA
Source: RNAcentral